UUUGAAAACUUUAGGCUUUCUUCUUCAUAAAAUAUGUCGGACGUCAUCACAUUUUUAUUCAUUUACAUUAGUAAGCUACAAGACAGCGUCUUUCAAAGUAUGAACUGCGCAAAAAAGAAAAAUGAAUGCGUUAUUGUACCCAGCACUUCUGAAAAUGCACUUCUGAAUGCAUCUCUGUCCACAGCACAUUUCAAACCAAACUGACAGCCAUGCUGGUAUACUACUGUUC
Molecule: long non-coding RNA, 229 nt
Organism: Etheostoma cragini (Arkansas darter)
Lineage: Eukaryota; Metazoa; Chordata; Actinopteri; Perciformes; Percidae
Exons: 3
Source: RefSeq, a predicted model, not a curated record